UUCACCGCUCAUUCAGCUGCCCUCCGUCAGCAAAUGUGAAAAAGUUUGGAACUAUGAUCUUUGCCUUUAAACAAUUUUAAUUUAAUCCAAUUAUUUAUCUUAUAAAUCCUUAAGUAAAACACUUCUAUAAUAAACUACCAGGCACCUUGUACAUCCAGUCCAAAUGGUUUUAAAUGAAACUGCUUUUGUUUUAGAACCAAAGCAGUAAUUGCUUAAUUGGCUUUGAUGCAGGUAGAAAAGAAAACUUUUAGGAUAGAUUGGCUUCUAAUUAACUAACACCGAAGGCUUCACUAUAACCUUAUUAAGGUAGUUAAGCAUAACAUAAAACACUGCACAGAUAAAAAGGUUAUUUUUUAAAAGUCUGAUGUUUGGUUUCAACACAGCAGUUACUAUCCAGCAGGACCUGUUUGGAUUUGAAACAUAUAUAGGAUAUAUACAAGAUAAUAAUAACAACAAUAAUAAUAUCAUUUAUUAUUACUCGUAUUGUUAUUAGUUGUAGUAGUAGCACUUAGUAUUAGGGUUAUAACAAGUAUUAUUAAUAUAAAUAGUACUUGAUUUGUAUCAUUGAUAGUACUUGGAGAGUGGUAGGAGUUGUAGUAUUGUCAUAGCCAGGAUUAAUGAUAACGAUAGUAAUAAUGAGAAGAAGAAUAAUCUUUCUCAUUAUUAUUAUUAGUAGUAGUAUUAAUAGUAAUAUUAGUAGUUGGAUUCAUAGUUGUAUUAGUUUCUGUUUUUCACAAAGGCCUGUAAUUUAGCUUUUCAUAUGACCAGGCACUUGAGACUGAAAUCACUUUUUGGCCAUGGUUUCAUGGUUUCAUUUUCCAGUUUACAAUGUUAUUUGUUAUCUUAUCACAAAUCUACGUCGAUCAUCUAUAUUAGGUUUUCUGAAGUUCUUCAAGUUUUAGCUAGAGAAGAUGUAUAAUUAACAAGGAAAACAGUGUAGCUGUGUGGAUAUAGAAAGUAUCCCCUUAAAGAAAUAUUCCUCCCACAAGCAGAGACAGAUAAUAAUUAAAUAAUGUCCUUGCUUAAACUAUUUUUAGCUGGAUUUUGAAAUGAAAAAAAAAGUGAGACUGGCAAAGAAAUAGUUCCAAGCAAAGUGCAAUAACGUUGUCCAUUUCAACCGUGUGUGUUUUAAGGUCUUCGAAGCAAUAUCAGGUUUUUGGCAGGAGCCGCUCCCUGAGCCUGCCCCAGCGACCUUCUCCUGGACUUCUGUCGCCUCUGAGUGCGCCUGGAGCCCAGCCGGCUUUUUCGCCCACGCAGAGGCAAACCUCCUUCUCCAGGAAACCCCCGACGCCAUGGGAGGCAGCGUCAAAGAGUCCAAUCGGCUCCGUGGACGAGGCCUUCGUCUUCCAGAGCCCCCUGUCGUCCGUCGCUUCUGAUGUUAUGGCUGCCGCACACCAAAGAUCUCUGCCCGAGCCUCCGGAAGAAUGGAAGCGCCGGGUGUCUCUCGACUCUGCCGCUGUCAGUAAGGGUCACCGCCAGCACCUGCCGGCCCCGUCUUUUCAGCCUCUGUCCGCGAGCGGGACGGCUUCACCCGAGAAACCGGCCUUCUACGGGCCUCCCUUCAGACCCGCUCAGCCUCUGAGGCCUGCCAGCCUCGGCUUCAAAGCGCAGAGCCCAUAUAAGUUCUUUCAUUUGUAUGGCGCCGCCCAGAGAAGUUAAUACCGCUGAGAAGAAGCAAGACCGGAGGGCACACAUAGGGUUUGCAAACAGAAAUGAAUGUUCUGUUUUAACAUUCACAGUUUUAAGCACGUAGGUUCCACAGGUUUUCAGGAGCAGAAGCAGUGAGUGACAGAACUUUCCCAAAUACGUCCCAAACGUUACCAUUUUUUAGACAGUUUAGAACAGGGGUGCCCUCAAGCCCCCCUCCAGUGAGCUGCAUUUAAAAUGCUAUUUUAUUCAGUUGCUCUUCCUUUUUAAUCAUAGUAGUAUUUACAUAGAUUUAAAAGCAUUAUAAAACAUCUUUAUAUUCCACAAUGUUAAGGUGAGCUUUGACUCUUUAGUUCAAAAGUCAGUACAGGCAGCCGUUCGUUUGACACAGCUCCGAUGAAGUAGCUCUCAGUUUCAAAGAGGUUGGUGGUCCCUGGUUUAGAACAUCUGCUUUGAGUGAAUAAUGGCAGACGUGGCUCUUGUGGUGGUGUUAGUGAUUGGCUGAGUUGAACAACGCCACGACUUCCAGCAAAAAGAGAAUUUAUUGUAGGAACAUUUGUCUUUCACAGCAAAGCAAUUACUAUGUCCCUGUAGCUUUAAACAGCAAGAUGUUUGUGCGCAUGUUCUUUUAAGGUUGAUCGUUUACUGAAUGUUAUUUUCUUUUUUAGCAGAGAUGGGUCUGAUUCAUUUAAAGCAUCAAGAAAGUAUUCAUAUAUAUCGUCAUGUAAAAAACAACAAACUUCUGUGUGGCAGACCAACACAAACUAAUGUCUAAUUAUGACGCAGAAGGAAAAAAAGAUGAGCGGUUUCUAAAGUUUUUCACCAUUAGAAGUCCUAAAAACGUGUCACAUACAUUUGUAUUAAGCCCUUCUCUGGUACUUUUCAGAACCAGCUUCUGCUGGGGUUACAGCUGCAAGUCUCUGCCAGCUAUCAGCUACAGAUUGAAAUUCAUGUCUAUUCUACUCGUGCAAAACAGCUCAAGCUCAGUCGGAUUGGAUGGAGGCUAUCUGCGUGUAUCAGUUUUUAAGUCAGAUUCAAAGCAUUGACUUUGACUAGGCCGUUUAAACAGAUGGAUCCCCAUUGAUCUGAAUAUUUCUAUUGUUGCUCUUGCUGUAUGUUUAAGAUCGUCCCCCUGCUAGGAGGUUGCCCUCUGCCCGCCUCUCAAGCCUUUUACCGACUCUAUUUAGACAAGUCUUCCUCCAGGAUUGUCCUGUAUUCAUUUCCGUCAAUGGUCCCGUCAACUCUGACCUGCCUCCCUGUCCCUGCUGAAGAAAAGCACUCCACACCAUGACAGUGCCCAUCCCAUGUUUUGCCGCGCAAUGUGGAGUUUUAGUUUUUCUCCACAUGUAGCAUUUUGCAUGGUGGCCAAAAUAUUCAAUUUUGAUUCUUCUCUGGAUUCUUUUCUGGAUCAGUGCAGCUCUACCGCAGUCCUUUAAAUGCCCUGUAACCUUUUCCUUCCACUUCACAACUAUGUGUUACUUUGUGCUCUUCGUAUGGCACAAUAUUGGAAUAAAAUUCAUUCAGGUUUGUGCUUUUAAUGAAAAUAAAUGUGGAAUAAGAGGUAUGGAUACAUCUGCAAGGUACUGUAAGUUUUACAGAAUGUAAUAGUGAAACAAAAUUAGCCCUGUCUGGACUGGUAUUGCUGAAAAAAGAAAAUAAGAGCCAUAUUUCAACCAUCUUAGUUUAAUUGACAACCAGCAGUGAGGAAUAAAUGGAUUUGGCCUUAAGAGACGAUGUCUGGCCAGCCAAUGAAUGCUAAAUGCCUUUUUGAAUUUAAUUCAGAGCUCUAUUUUAAAAUCAGAAUCAUCUUUAUUGGCUACGAUUGUGUAAACAGUCUAGGAAUUUGACCUUGGUUACAGCUUGGCUAAAUGUUUGCUUCACCAACGAGGAUUAAAUAUCUAACAAACUAAAAUCCAGCAUGGUGAUGGUGUGAGAGCAUAUUUCUGCUGAAGUCAAUCAAGCAUGUGCAUUGGUUUGUCUUUGUGGGUGUUGUGGGAUUUUACUAUUUGUGUUUUGAAGGUGAAUUUACCAAGAAGAAAAGGAAUAAGUAUGUAUGUACAUUAUGUAACUGUUGGAAAGUUGAGCAGCCGUGUUGGCUUGAAAUUAUAUAUAAUCACUUUGUCUCACAGACAUGUAUUUUUUUUACUCUAUAAUUAGCUUUUGUUUUGACUUAUAGAUUUCUUCACUUUCAUAGCAAUUUUCAUCGUCACCUUUUUUUUCAAAGCCUAAAUAAAUCAAGCUUUUUUUUAGCCUACUCUCGGUUCCAUUCUAGAGACAAUCCUGCAUUAUAUUUGAUGUAAUGAAGUAAUGUUUUUGAGCACAUUUGCUGUGGACCAUGUUGUGAUUUACUGAUGCCAUUUUAUUCCAGCUACUUGGCUGAUGUUGAUGAAUGUGUGAUAUCAGCGGUUGGAGUCAGACUGUGUAAAUAUGUCGGACUUCCCGAUUAAUGUGUUCGUAGCUCACCUGGUUCGCUGCCUCAAAACAUGUUUCCUCCCCACGGCUGCCACAUUCACAGACAGCAUUGUUUUGUCUCUAUGCUACAAGGUCUUUUUGCAGUUUUAAAGUAGAGCCAUAUUAUGUACACAAUGCUAUUCCAACUGGUAAACAACAAAAGUAAUUCGUACAUGAAUGUCUGUUUGUUUCAAUUGCUGGCUAGAUGGAUUGUACGGUACUUAGGUUAAAAGGCAUGGUAGAUCCUGACAUAAAUUUGUGGAUCAUGCUGUUCAUCAUGACCCAUACUGUGAGGUGUUUCACAAACCAAGUUGUGUUUUUGAGAGUCGUUGGCUUUGGCACCAUGCAGUUUUCUUGGUUACAUGUUUUUCCCACUUUUAAGAUCAUUAAAAUUUUUAAAAGUUCA
Long non-coding RNA from Fundulus heteroclitus (mummichog), 4504 nucleotides. RefSeq lists it as uncharacterized. NCBI's taxonomy places the organism in Eukaryota, Metazoa, Chordata, Actinopteri, Cyprinodontiformes, Fundulidae. The transcript has 2 exons. The record is from RefSeq and is a predicted model, not a curated record.